This 301-nucleotide ribosomal RNA is filed under the name uncultured bacterium. RNAcentral describes it as "partial 16S ribosomal RNA". It matches the Rfam family "Bacterial small subunit ribosomal RNA", at positions 509 to 807 of the family's 1533-position model. The record is from RNAcentral.
CAGUCGCCGCGGGAAUACAGAGGGUGCGAGCGUUAAUCGGAUUUACUGGGCGUAAAGCGUGCGUAGGCGGCUUUUUAAGUCGGAUGUGAAAUCCCUGAGCUUAACUUAGGAAUUGCAUUCGAUACUGGGAAGCUAGAGUAUGGGAGAGGAUGGUAGAAUUCCAGGUGUAGCGGUAAAAUGCGUAGAGAUCUGGAGGAAUACCGAUGGCGAAGGCAGCCAUCUGGCCUAAUACUGACGCUGAGGUACGAAAGCAUGGGGAGCAAACAGGAUUAGAUACCCCAGUAGUCCCUGUCUCUUAUAC